UCGAGAAUUUUUCACAAUGGGGGAAACCCUGAUGGAGCGACGCCGCGUGGGGGAUGAAUGGCUUCGGCCCGUAAACCCCUGUCAUUUGCGAACAAAUGUUUACGUAUAACACAUGUAAACCUGAUAGUAGCGGAAGAGGAAGGGACGGCUAACUCUGUGCCAGCAGCCGCGGUAAUACAGAGGUCCCAAGCGUUGUUCGGAUUCACUGGGCGUAAAGGGUGCGUAGGUGGCUUGGUAAGUCUGAUGUGAAAUCUCGAAGCUUAACUUCGAAACUGCAUUGGAUACUAUUGAGCUGGAGGGUCGGAGGGGGGACUGGAAUUCUCGGUGUAGCAGUGAAAUGCGUAGAUAUCGAGAGGAACACCAGUGGCGAAGGCGAGUCCCUGGACGACUCCUGACACUGAGGCACGAAAGCUAGGGGAGCAAACAGGAUUAGAUACCCGUGUAGUCC
RNAcentral lists this ribosomal RNA (448 nucleotides) under uncultured bacterium. RNAcentral's name for it is "bacterial SSU rRNA". It matches the Rfam family "Bacterial small subunit ribosomal RNA", at positions 355 to 796 of the family's 1533-position model. The record is from RNAcentral.